This 465-nucleotide ribosomal RNA is filed under the name uncultured Klebsiella sp. RNAcentral's name for it is "bacterial SSU rRNA". It matches the Rfam family "Bacterial small subunit ribosomal RNA", at positions 338 to 795 of the family's 1533-position model. The record is from RNAcentral. Lineage: Bacteria; Pseudomonadati; Pseudomonadota; Gammaproteobacteria; Enterobacterales; Enterobacteriaceae.
CCUACGGGUGGCUGCAGUGGGGAAUAUUGCACAAUGGGCGCAAGCCUGAUGCAGCCAUGCCGCGUGUGUGAAGAAGGCCUUCGGGUUGUAAAGCAUUUUCAGCGGGGAGGAAGGCGGUGAGGUUAAUAACCUCAUCGAUUGACGUUACCCGCAGAAGAAGCACCGGCUAACUCCGUGCCAGCAGCCGCGGUAAUACGGAGGGUGCAAGCGUUAAUCGGAAUUACUGGGCGUAAAGCGCACGCAGGCGGUCUGUCAAGUCGGAUGUGAAAUCCCCGGGCUCAACCUGGGAACUGCAUUCGAAACUGGCAGGCUAGAGUCUUGUAGAGGGGGGUAGAAUUCCAGGUGUAGCGGUGAAAUGCGUAGAGAUCUGGAGGAAUACCGGUGGCGAAGGCGGCCCCCUGGACAAAGACUGACGCUCAGGUGCGAAAGCGUGGGGAGCAAACAGGAUUAGAUACCCUAGUAGUC